Neltuma alba is the source of this 235-nucleotide long non-coding RNA. RefSeq lists it as uncharacterized. Lineage: Eukaryota; Viridiplantae; Streptophyta; Magnoliopsida; Fabales; Fabaceae. The record is from RefSeq and is a predicted model, not a curated record. The transcript is spliced from 3 exons.
UCGGAAAGGCACAUUCUCUGAGACUAUUUCAAAAGAAAAAUCUGGUGGAUGGAGGACAUGAAGCAGAAAGGCUUGACCACUGAGAGUACCCAACAGAUGGUGGCAGCAGCGAUACAUACUGAGAUGAAUCAAACAGACUUGGCCUUCGGUGAGAUGCAACCACUUCUCUCAUCUCAGCCGAUAGAUUUAUCGUCCAAUUACAAGCAACAACAACAUGUGGAAGAUGAGGUGACUA